This 429-nucleotide ribosomal RNA is filed under the name Bacteroidota bacterium. Its description in RNAcentral is "Bacteroidetes bacterium partial 16S ribosomal RNA". It matches the Rfam family "Bacterial small subunit ribosomal RNA", at positions 355 to 776 of the family's 1533-position model. The record is from RNAcentral. Lineage: Bacteria; Pseudomonadati; Bacteroidota.
UAGGGAAUCUUCCGCAAUGGACGCAAGUCUGACGGAGCAACGCCGCGUGAGUGAAGAAGGAUUUCGGUUCGUAAAACUCUGUGGUUAGAGAAGAACAGCGCAUAGAGUAACUGUUAUGCGUGUGACGGUAUCUAACCAGAAAGCCACGGCUAACUACGUGCCAGCAGCCGCGGUAAUACGUAGGUGGCAAGCGUUGUCCGGAUUUAUUGGGCGUAAAGCGAGCGCAGGCGGUCAAUUAAGUCUGAUGUGAAAGCCCCCGGCUCAACCGGGGAGGGUCAUUGGAAACUGGUUGACUUGAGUGCAGAAGAGGAGAGUGGAAUUCCAUGUGUAACGGUGAAAUGCGUAGAUAUAUGGAGGAACACCAGUGGCGAAGGCGACUCUCUGGUCUGUAACUGACGCUGAGGCUCGAAAGCGUGGGUAGCAAACAGG